GAUGAACGCUGGCGGCGUGCCUAAUACAUGCAAGUCGAACGAAGAUCUAGCUUGCUAGAUCUUAGUGGCGAACGGGUGAGUAAUACAUAAAUAAUCUGCCCAUUGGACUGGGAUAACUAUUGGAAACGAUAGCUAAUACCGGAUAGGUGAUUUGAAGGCAUCUUCGAAUCAUUAAAGUAGGGUCACUACACCAAUGGAUGAGUUUAUGGCGCAUUAGUUAGUUGGCGGGGUAACGGCCCACCAAGACGAUGAUGCGUAGCCGACCUGAGAGGGUGACCGGCCACACUGGGACUGAGACACGGCCCAGACUCCUACGGGAGGCAGCAGUAGGGAAUUUUCGGCAAUGGGCGCAAGCCUGACCGAGCAACGCCGCGUGAGUGAUUAAGGCCUGGUUGUAA
Molecule: ribosomal RNA, 398 nt
Filed under: uncultured bacterium
Lineage: Bacteria
Description: bacterial SSU rRNA
Rfam family: Bacterial small subunit ribosomal RNA
Source: RNAcentral